Molecule: long non-coding RNA, 225 nt
Organism: Lipotes vexillifer (Yangtze River dolphin)
Lineage: Eukaryota; Metazoa; Chordata; Mammalia; Artiodactyla; Lipotidae
Exons: 4
Source: RefSeq, a predicted model, not a curated record
GAUGAUUUUCAUUAUUGGCCAAGAAGCUUAUAAGCAACAGAAUGCAACCAACAGUCACUACUCUGUGAACUUCCAGAAAGAAGCCAAAUCCUUCAGUCUCAGUAUCUCAGACUCCCAGCUGGAGGAUGCUGCAAUGUAUUUCUGUGCUUUCAUGAAGGCCAACUAGUGGAAGUAGCAGGUAUAAACUGACAUUUGGAAAAGGAACUCUCUUAAUCGUGAAUCCAA